AGUGAACGCUGGCGGUAGGCCUAACACAUGCAAGUCGAACGGCAGCACAGUAAGAGCUUGCUCUUACGGGUGGCGAGUGGCAGACGGGUGAGGAAUACAUCGGAAUCUACUUUUUCGUGGGGGAUAACGUAGGGAAAAUUACGCUAAUACCGCAUACGACCUACUGGUGAAAGCAGGGGAUCUUCGGACCUUGCGCGAUUGACUGAGCCGAUGUCGGAUUAGCUAGUUGGCGGGGUAAAGGCCCACCAAGGCGACGAUCCGUAGGUGGGCUGAGAGGAUGAUCAGCCACACUGGAACGGAGACACGGUCCAGACUCCUACGGGAGGCAGCAGUGGGGAAUAUUGGACAAUGGGCGCAAGCCUGAUCCAGCCAUACCGCGUGGGUGAAGAAGGCCUUCGGGUUGUAAAGCCCUUUUGUUGGGAAAGAAAAGCAGCAGGUUAAUACCCCGCUGUUCUGACGGUACCCAAAGAAUAAGCACCGGCUAACUUCGUG
This 492-nucleotide ribosomal RNA is filed under the name uncultured bacterium. RNAcentral describes it as "partial 16S ribosomal RNA". It matches the Rfam family "Bacterial small subunit ribosomal RNA", at positions 29 to 507 of the family's 1533-position model. The record is from RNAcentral.